UGUAGCUCAGUGGUAGAGCAGCUGUUUCAUAAACACUAGGUCAGAGGUUCGAAUCCUCUCGGGAGUGCCA
Molecule: transfer RNA, 70 nt
Filed under: Verrucomicrobiota bacterium
Lineage: Bacteria; Pseudomonadati; Verrucomicrobiota
Description: tRNA-Met
Rfam family: tRNA
About the family: Transfer RNA (tRNA) molecules are approximately 80 nucleotides in length. Their secondary structure includes four short double-helical elements and three loops (D, anti-codon, and T loops).
Source: RNAcentral